This 467-nucleotide unclassified non-coding RNA is filed under the name Hevea brasiliensis (rubber tree). Lineage: Eukaryota; Viridiplantae; Streptophyta; Magnoliopsida; Malpighiales; Euphorbiaceae. The record is from RNAcentral.
GUAACUUUCAAUGGAUUAGUGAAGCACCGAUGAAAUUUUCCUCUCCUGUCGAAAGCAAUAUAAUGGCGAAAAAAAUAACUUGGAUCUAAAUAUGUUAAUGACACUGUCAAUCCACAAAACCAUAACACAUUACAUGAAAACUGCAGAUUAUUUGCUCAAGCAACGCAUUGUCAGCGUAACAGCUGAUAAAAAUUACAGCCUAAACUAUGUCCCCUUUGCAGCACUUUUUCUUAUUCAAUGCUAUCUCCAGUCCAGUGCUUCCUUGUGGCUGAGGCAGAUACGAGGAGAGUGUUACUUAAUCAGUAUACAUCUAAUAGGUGAUCCCUCCGCACCAAGCAACCUUAAGGGAAGACAGUGUACAGUGUACAAGCCAGCUUCUAUAUCAUCCAGCUUCAGCCCUUCUACUAGAAUAAUCUCCCUGCUUUUCAGGAAAACAUGAUGGGCAGGAAGCAAAUCAUCAAAAGCAG